Molecule: long non-coding RNA, 374 nt
Filed under: Arabidopsis lyrata
Lineage: Eukaryota; Viridiplantae; Streptophyta; Magnoliopsida; Brassicales; Brassicaceae
Description: long non-coding RNA (ALYR_LNC002562)
Source: RNAcentral
AUAGAUAUGCGCAUAUAUUAUGUUGUUUAAUAUUAAUUUCAAGAUCCUUCAGUAACUUAGGCAAACAUAAGAUUUUAAAAAAAAAUUAUAAUGACAUACAGUAUGUUGUAAAUGUAAUCAAACUAAAUGUUUUAUUAGUGAUCGAUCGCUCAGUAAAUCCAAUCUGUAAUCUUGAUUUUCUCUCUCUUUGCCUCCUCUUGAUCUUCUUUUGAUCAUUAUUUCACUAUUUUGAUUCAUUCCACCUCCUUUUUGCUCAUAAGACUACAAAUAUCUUCAACUCUUCAUGAUCCAUUCCAUAAACCUAAGAAAGACAAAUUCACAUGUAUAUGCACAACUAUAUGCCUAAAAAUGAAUGCAAAAUAGAGAAAACUAAU